RNAcentral lists this ribosomal RNA (260 nucleotides) under uncultured Bacillota bacterium. Its description in RNAcentral is "uncultured Firmicutes bacterium partial 16S ribosomal RNA". It matches the Rfam family "Bacterial small subunit ribosomal RNA", at positions 338 to 590 of the family's 1533-position model. The record is from RNAcentral. Lineage: Bacteria; Bacillati; Bacillota.
CCUACGGGGGGCAGCAGUAGGGAAUCUUCCACAAUGGACGAAAGUCUGAUGGAGCAACGCCGCGUGUGUGAUGAAGGGUUUCGGCUCGUAAAACACUGUUAUAAGAGAAGAACGUCAGUGAGAGUAACUGUUCAUUGAGUGACGGUAUCUUAUCAGAAAGGGACGGCUAAAUACGUGCCAGCAGCCGCGGUAAUACGUAUGUCCCAAGCGUUAUCCGGAUUUAUUGGGCGUAAAGCGAGCGCAGGCGGUUAUUUAAGUCU